RNAcentral lists this ribosomal RNA (442 nucleotides) under uncultured bacterium. Its description in RNAcentral is "partial 16S ribosomal RNA". It matches the Rfam family "Bacterial small subunit ribosomal RNA", at positions 338 to 795 of the family's 1533-position model. The record is from RNAcentral.
CCUACGGGUGGCAGCAGUGGGGAAUAUUGGGCAAUGGGCGCAAGCCUGACCCAGCAACGCCGCGUGAAGGAAGAAGGCCUUCGGGUUGUAAACUUCUUUUAAGGGGGAAGAGCAGAAGACGGUACCCCUUGAAUAAGCCAUGGCUAACUACGUGCCAGCAGCCGCGGUAAUACGUAGGUGGCAAGCGUUGCCCGGAUUUACUGGGUGUAAAGGGCGUGCAGCCGGAGAGACAAGUCAGAUGUGAAAUCCACGGGCUCAACCCGUGAACUGCAUUUGAAACUGGUUCCCUUGAGUGUCGGAGAGGUAAGCGGAAUUCCAUGUGUAGCGGUGAAAUGCGUAGAUAUAAGGAAGAACACCAGUGGCGAAGGCGGAUUACUGGACGAUAACUGACGGUGAGGCGCGAAAGCGUGGGGAGCAAACAGGAUUAGAUACCCGGGUAGUC